This 596-nucleotide unclassified non-coding RNA is filed under the name Hevea brasiliensis (rubber tree). Lineage: Eukaryota; Viridiplantae; Streptophyta; Magnoliopsida; Malpighiales; Euphorbiaceae. The record is from RNAcentral.
AAAAAAAAAAGAAUUUCUCUUUUUUUUAGAGAAAGAGAUAGCUAAUUAGCUCUAAGUGAAACUUUCCCAUUAACUAACAAGAUCAUCUAUCAUUUGAUUCGACUUCAAAAGGCACACGACCUUAAUUAAACUCCUUUCUUUCUUGCUUUUGACAGAUGUGACUGCUCAAAUUAUCCUGAAAGUUCUAAAGCUCUGAUGCGCUAUAUAUAUAUCCACAAAAGUGAAAAUGAUAAUUGACGUUCUAUUAUUUCAUGUGAAUGAAAUUGGAGCACCAACAAUGGCUGCGAUUCCUCCAUUUGAAUGAUAAAUCGCAGAAGAUUAUGUGACCCUUAGCUCUAAUAAAAGGCAAUUAACUAUUGUAUCAUCCUUCUAGUUCUGCCUUAUUGUAUCUAAAAGAUUAUAAUCCUGUCAUCAAUAGUUAUUAUGAGUUAAGAGACAAAAGCAUGAUUUCAUGGUCAUGAUCACUCAAGUCACCAACCGCUGAAUAACUAAAAAGAAGGUACCAGAUGAAGAAAAUAUCUUCUUAAAGGUCCUAGCUAGAUACCCUAAUUAAGGGGGCGGUUCAAGAAAAAAGAAUAAAUUAAGUAGAACUUGUA